UUUUUUUUUUGCUUGUUGUAUGCACAUGAGCAUUGCUAGUUAGUGAGUUGGUACCAAACACAUUCUUUUUGUUAGGUAGCUUCACUUGUAUUAACCAGCAUUAUAGAGACAAGUAACAAUGAGAUGGAUUUAUAUAGCCUGUUUAUGAAUUCUGCUAACAUGUUGGUGUGCUUACUCUAUUCUACUAUGUGAUGACUUGGGUUGGUACAAAUUCUGUAGUAUAAAAAUUUAUUUUGUUCAAUUGAGUAUGAUUUUCUGGCCAAGUUAUGGACUUAUAUUGUCCAGGUGUGAUACAAUGUGAAGUAAGUAGUACUGAAUCCAUUUCUAGUUUCUUUGUUAAGCAAGACUCGGUGCAGCCAACAGGAAAAUUCUGUCGUGUUUAGUUUAUCAUUAUUAUGUCAAAUACUUUGGGUACUUGCUCUGCUGGCUGGCCUUCUGUUGAAUAGUUCUAUCCACACGUGGUUCCUUGUAUAUAGUGUGAAGGAUUUCUUCUCUGAAGUACAGACCAAGAAUUAUAAAGAUUUGUACAAGAAUUUUACGGACUUCAUUAAUAUCCUGAACUUAAGCUUAUUGGCUGAAUUGAAUGGUAAGGACGCUGCUGCCUCCCAGAAUCCUAAUGCUGAGAGCAGUUCGUCAAUAAACAGGUAUGUCUAUGUUGGGUUUUAAACUUGUGGCACGUCACAUCUCCAUCUCUAACACUAAAAUCAGACAAAGUUUCUGUGCAUCUCAUCGCAAACAAAAAUCUAGUAUAUUGCCCUAUGGAAUUACUUCAUGUUGCAUUUUUACUUGCUAUCAAUGAAUUAAUAUCAUUAUAUUGGGAAUUUGGGCUUUUCUGGUUAUAUUCUGAUGAUUUUCCUCCUUCGCAUAAAAUUUAACUUCCAAAGCUUCUCUGUUGUAGCCGACUCCAUUUGCUAGUAAUUCUCUUAACACGUUGCACUUCUCCUUGCAGUUAUAGAAAUGUUAUGUGGGGAAAGCCGACUACAAGGACUACUGAACGAACCAGGUAUGAAUACAACCAUUUGUAUUUUCCCUUAUUCUUUUGUGUGGCACUCCUUUAUUCACCUUUUUUGUACUUUGUUGUCACUUGCUCCAGUUCUGAAUAUGCUCGGUGGGAAAACCGGAGCGCAAGGACUGCCGGGUAUGAAUACAAGCUUUUGUAUAUUUCCCUUAUUUUGUGUGGCACACUGCUAUUCACCAUUUUGGACUUUGAUGUUAUUUUUAUUUGGUCCUGUCCAAUAUGAUUAGAACUCGCUAAGGCUUAGGGCAACUCCAACACGGAUCGCCAAAACAAACAACUCCAAAUGUCCGAGACACCAUAUGUUGCAUUGAUUUUCCGAUAUUUUAAUACAUAUCAAAAGGCCAUAACUAAAACAUCUAAAACACCCUAAAAAAUUUACUCCUCAUCAGAGUCUGCCUGGUCAUCAUCGCCAGUGGAGGUGGGGUCGACGAUCCCCAUGCCGGACGGACUGGCCUGUCGUUGUUGUGUGCUGGUGCGAAUGAGGCGGAGCUACCAACGUUUGCGUUGCUUCCAUAAUCACCAUGCUGGUCCGGCGCGUUGUUAGUCAUCACCUCUAGCACGUCAAUGAGGCGGUUGCGCUCCAUCUCAUUGUAGAGGAGCUGCCAGCGCUCGCGGCAGAUGGUGCGGCACUAUGCAUGGAAUCGAUCAUUGCUCCUACUCAUCGACAAUACUCGAGUCCUUUGGACAUGGCCAUGCCGACAUCUUUGGACGUCCGCUCCGUUGAGAGUUGGUCCUCCACUAGCCGGUGCUCCUCGAGGAGUGCUAGGUUGUAGUUACUGCUCCUCCUGAAGAAGAUGGAACACAGAACCAACAGCUCCUCUAGUGGUGCAGCGCCACCUCCUCCUUCGCCUCCACCAUCACCCGGUCAUAGUGCUGCCUUGGUUAUACAAUGCGGAACCUGGACACCGGCGGUCCUCCUUUGAUGCAGGCUCUUGAUCCACACUGGCGCUAACUCCAUGAUGAUCUCUGCCAUGGCCAUGGGUGGCCCUCCUCCAUCUCCUCGGAACGCCCCGGAGAGCUCUAUGGUUGGCCUGCAUAAAUGCAAGCAUGAAUUCAGGCCUCCACAUCACAGACCUCCAACGUGAUUUGGGCGAGGCACGCCGGCGUGAAGUUCAUGUACCACAUGGCAAAGGAACGGGCCAUGACCACAAGGGAUGGCUGCUUGGAUGGUGGGAGAAGGGCGCGGAGAGGUCUGGUUUUGGGGCCAUGGCUGGCCAUCGUAAAUAGUCGGGGCGGGCGGAGCGGCCGGUUGAAUGUGGAGCGCCCUAUUAGCAUUCUCAUUCGCCACACUAUUGUGAAUGUCGGCAGGUGAAUGGCUGGUCAGCCAGCAUGAAUGUCGGUACAAAGCCGCCCUGUUUAGUUAUGUCCCCUCUGACUGGCAUGAAUGUGGUGCGGAGAGCGAUCAGAUGCAGCGGCAGACGGGGUUUUGGGUUGGUCUGGGGUGCCUGAGUCCGAUGGGGCAGACAUCUGGGCUCCCCCAAUCCUCCCCUUAGUUUGGUUCCGGUUGUUGUGGGAUUUUGGAUGCCUGGGCCGGGCUGGACAAGUUUUGUGACCGCCGUUCGAUGGCAAAAAUGUCCGGACUGUUCGUUCCUCACAUUUAUGGGGGAUUUGGUGAUCCGCGUUGGAGUUUCUCUUAGCCACUAGUGAGUAUUUUCUAGUUUUCUCUGACUUCAUUCUUGCGUACACUGCUUCAAUCACAAGCUGAGUACCUUCGGUCCUGAUAGCAACUAGCCUUCUUCAGUUUUCAUGAGCAUGUGUGUCCUUACAUAUUCUAUUGCCAUCUAAUUUUAGUGCAACUUCGAAAUUUUGGUACUGCAACUUAUUGAUAUUGUUACUUUUUACUGUCUUGAUCAAUGCAAAUUCUCUUGAUGUAUGUUGGAAGUAAACAAAAAGAAUAUCAAUGGAGUCAUUGUGAUCUUACUUUCAAUAUAACAUAUGUUACUGAUAGCAUUUACAAAUAUAUACUGUGUCUUCACACUACUCAUUUUAUGAAUCACACUGAAGAUAAUAUUAUGGAAGGUAAUGUCUAUGGAAUAUACAACUUCAGUUCAAAGAAAGUUUCCACAAAAUAAUAUAUUCUCCCAAAAAUUUGGUACAAAUGACGAUGAACUCAUGUCCAUAUGGACCUGUUCCUGAGGUUAUAGAUUCAGACAUUUUCAAAAUUCUCAAUAAAAGUUAUGGUACUACAAAAAUAUAGUUUAGGCAUAUAUACAAAAUCUUAAUAGAAAAUAUACAUGAUCAUGUUUGUUCUGUACCUAAAAAUAUAUAUAUAAGAACACCCUUAUAUUGCAUACUCUCUCUCUCUCUCUCUCUCUCUCUCUCUCUCUCUCUCUCUCUCUCUCUCUCUCNNNNNNNNNNNNNNNNNNNNNNNNNNNNNNNNNNNNNNNNNNNNNNNNNNNNNNNNNNNNNNNNNNNNNNNNNNNNNNNNNNNNNNNNNNNNNNNNNNNNGCCGCCGUAGACACCAAUACCGCCACCGCCGAAGACACCAAUGGCGCCCCUGCGCGUUGUGCGAGUUGCUGGCCGUGAAGCUGGGAAUUGGGGGCGGCCCCUGUUGGCCACCCGCAAUCCACGUCGUUAUCCCAUGAAUCAAGGUAGGCAUAAUGCCGGUGAGUCUCGAUCCCAGUUGUUGUUGCACUUGCUCUUGGACCAUCUCCGGAAUCUGCGCCACUUUCGCCUUGAGUGCUUCAACCUCGCGCGACAGGCUUUCCGAGCUGGUCUUUUUCUCCUUUCGCCCACUAGCGGUAUAGUAUGACGACCAUUUUGUGGACAAGCCUUUGCAGGCCACACGACCAGCUGACGUUGGCUUACUGAGCUUAUCCUUGUUUUUCAUUACGUUCAACGCCCUAUUCAAAGGGGUGUCGAAAGGGGAGCUCUGAGACGACCCCGCGCUACUUCUUUCUUUGUCCUGCGGAAGGAACGUGAACCAUUUAGAAAUAUUGGGGAUUAAUUAGAAUGAAACCAUAUGGAGCUAAUUAUGCGGGGGUGUAUUCCUUACCAGAACAAGCUCAAGCGCCUUAGUCUUCGGAUCCGUGGUAAGCUCCUUUGUUACCAGGUCCUCCUUGUAUCGGGCCCUGAGAAAGUUCCUGGUCUGCUUGUCACGGUAUUUCUCGAAGCGGGGCGGUAGGCCUUGCUCGACACGCUCCGCGUCCUCCUUGUCCCAUAUAGGCUCCGCCACUCUGUAACCACCGGGACCGAGUUGGUGGACCCCUAUGUUCAACUGCCGCAUUUCUUUCCCCCACUGACUUGACUCGGAGGUUGCGGGGCUCUUGCACUUGAUCUUGAACUCCUUGUAGUCAUCUUCGCUAAUCAAAGGAUAUUUCGCCUUGAUCUUCUCAUAACUAUCACCUUUGUCAAUCAUUGCCUUCACCGUGCUUUUCCAAGUAGACAGGGCCGUGCUCAUCCUCGUGAGGGCGACACCGUUCACUUUAUUCCUCGAGAGGCGUGUGUUUGCGAACUAAGCGGGGAACUUGUAUCAUUCGUGCAGCUUCGUGAAGAGGAGGCUGCGCAAAUUCCCUCGGUCCUUAUGCCUUAGGUUCUCGGUGUUGAUCGAGGCGGUGCUCCGGAGAAUGCACCCGAGCUGAACCGAGUACCCCUUGACUACGUGUUUGGGCGCCGUCGGAUGCCCGUCGGAGUUCACUUCAGUAAAUUCCUCCCUGACGGUGCCGAGCACGUUCGGGCGCCGGUCCUUCCGUUGCCUCUUUGGUUGGCUGCCAUCUGUGCAUGCGCUGCCAUCAUCAAUGGUGGCAUCCGCGGCGCCAUCAUCAGUGGUGUCAUCCCCGACGCCACUAGGGGUUGUGUAGUCAGGAUCGGUGUCUUCCGCGGCAUCCUCAUAGCGGUGAGGUUCUUCCUCCAAGUCCUGAGACAGCUCCCAGGAUUGCUUGCCGCCCGAACCGCCGGCCUCAUCAUUGUGGUCCAUGUUUUGCUCUAAAUAGGAAAAAAGUUUGGUCAAAAAGUUGGUUAUUGUCAAGGAACAAGAUCAUGGUCACAUCAUUUAGGGUUUGUCGACACCGAGGCAUCCUAAAAGCUAAGCUUUUAUCAUUUAGGGUUUGUCGACGCCGAGGCACCCUAAAAGCCUAAGCGUACAUCAUUUAGGUCUCUCAUCGACACCGAGGCACCCUAUAGAAGCCAAGUUAAGUUUUCAUCAUGUAGGGUUUAUCGAUGCCGAGGCACCCUAGUUUGGGCCUAAUCACUUGGCACUAAUCACUUGGCUCUAUUGCCACCUAUGUUGGGUUUAUCAUCUAGGGUUUAUCGAUGCUAAGGAGAAUUCUAAGUUGGGCCUAAUCAUUUGGCUCUAUUGCCACCUAUGGUUUAAUGCAGCAAGAAUGGCGGGGCAGUUGAUCCUACUUAACUAAGUACUAAGAUACCUCGGCCCAUGCAUUAGUCGCAAGUACCCCAUAUGUCCUAUUUUUAGCAAAGUCAUGCUAAAAUUCACGGAAAAUUUCAACAUGACCUUUGCUGAAAAUAGGACAUAUGGAGUACCCAAAUUUGCCGGAAGGGAAGUUAAUCGACAUUCCGGCAAACUCAAGGGCCUCUUGGGGUACCUGCAAAUUCAUCACGACACAAUGGUCGGAGACAAAAUCCAGCCACGGACCAUAUGGUCCUCUGCUUUCAUAUGGAAAAAAAUCAGCUCAACUUAUGUGAGCUUCCAUUCCAGAUAUAAUAGGUCACCCAAAAAAUCAUCAAUAGUAUGAUCAAUUUUGAAUCAAUAGACAUACUUCUGAAAAGAGGCAUGAUCAAAUUCUGGUGCCCUUGACUUACUAGUAUUUAUCUCUUAUGACUGAUGAAUGUGCAUUGAGUCCAGAAGCAAAGACUCUACAGUGAAAUGAAAAAACCUUGGAAAUAUAUUUAUGAUAACUCUAAAUGGAUCAGAAGGUGCAGAUGCACUUGUAAAAAAAAGGUAUGCAUUUGCAGCAGCUUUGUUCUGAUUAUGACACCAUUCUGUUAAGAAGGCAAAAUAACAUUAUCAUCCCAAUUCAUGGUUGAAGUUGAAGACCCUAAGCUUUAAAAUGCCAAGUCUCACUUACGCAUGUUAACUUAUUUACAAGUUCAGAACUAUCACUAGAAAAUAGUAAAUCCACAUUGACCACAUAAUACUAUUUUGCAACCACUCAGUUUGUCCUUGACUGGGACACUUGAAGCACAAAACAACUAAUGCAGAGAUAGGUCUACUUUGGUUCUGACAGAUCACAUCCUGGUGCAUAUGUGGGGUUUUUUACUUAGAAAAUACAAAACUUCUAUUAUUGUUUUUAUUUUUAACCAGAGCCUAACCACCUCUAUAGUUUACAUCAGAUAAUCACUAAUCAGGCAUGGAAAAUUAUUUUAGCCAUGAUCCCUGAGGAUUAGAGCCUCCACAAGUCAAAGAAAAUUAGUGUCUCCACUUGUGUUGUCAAUGCUUGUUGUAUGUUUGACUUAAGGGUUUUCCUUUACAAAUUCUGACUCUGUUUCUAAACAAAGUAAGCUUCUAUCCUAUCUAGAAUGUAAUGAAGAUGUCUUGGAUAAGCUGAGUGUUGUAAUGAAGAUGUCUUGGUGAGACUUGAUGUAUGUCCAAAAUUAGAAAAAUCACAAGGUACUUUCUCUACCUAAUAAACUCCAUAUGACCACAUAAAACCCUGUUUAACACACCUGUAAAGAAGAACAACCCCCCUAAGGAGCUAGAAAGCUAUAUGAAACAAAAUUAUCAAGCAUAGGCAUACAAAUUCAGUACUGUAUGAAACAAAAUAGGUACAACAAGUAGAUGCUAGAGUCAUAUGCUGAGAGUAGGUGUCAGCUUAAGACAUUCUGAAAUAGUAAAUAACUAAAGGGCACUUGAUUAUGCACUUAGUAACAAGGUAUAUUGCAUGAUUCAUAAUUUUAUAGGAGACCAAUAGUAGAAAUUUGAUUAGGAGUGCUCCAUUUCACUNNNNNNNNNNNNNNNNNNNNNNNNNNNNNNNNNNNNNNNNNNNNNNNNNNNNNNNNNNNNNNNNNNNNNNNNNNNNNNNNNNNNNNNNNNNNNNNNNNNNCCUACGGUAUCCGGGAGUUACACGAUCUCAUGGUCUAAGGAAGAGAUACUUGACAUUGGAAAAGCUCUAGCGAAACGAACUACACGAUCUUGUGCCAUGCUUAGGAUUGGGUCUUGUCCAUCACGUCAUUCUCCUAAUGACGUGAUCCCGUUGUCAAUGACAUCUGAUGUCCAUAGUCAGGAAACCAUGACUAUCUGUUGACCAACGAGCUAGUCAACUAGAGGCUUACUAGGGACGUAUUGUAGUCUAUGUAUUCACACAUGUAUUACGAUUUCCGGAUAAUACAAUUAUAGCAUGAAUAAAAGACAAUUAUCAUGAACAAGUAAAUAUAAUAGUAAUGCUUUUAUUAUUGCCUCUAGGGCAUAUUUCCAACAGUCUCCCACUUGCACUAGAGUCAAUAAUCUAGUUACAUUGUGAUGAAUCGAACACCCAUAGAGUUCUGGUGUUGAUCAUGUUUUGCUCGUGAGAGAGGUUUAGUCAACGGAUCUGCGACAUUCAGAUCCGUAUCCACUUUACAAAUUUCUAUGUCUCCAUCUUGAACAUUUUUACGGAUGGAGUUGAAGCGACGCUUGAUGUGCCUGGUCCUCUUGUGAAACCUGGGCUCCUUGGCAAGUGCAACAGCCCCAGUGUUGUCACAGAAGAGUUUGAUCGGCCCCGACGCAUUGGGUAUGACUCCUAGGUCGGUGAUGAACUCCUUCACCCAAAUUGCUUCAUGCGCUGCCUCCGAGGCUGCCAUGUACUCCGCUUCACAUGUAGAUCCCGCCACGAUGCUCUGCUUGCAGCUGCACCAGCUUACUUCUCCACCAUUCAACAUAUACACGUAUCCGGUUUGUGACUUAGAGUCAUCCAGAUCUGUGUCGAAGCUACCGUCGACGUAACCCUUUACGACGAGCUCUUCGUCACCUCCAUAAACGAGAAACAUGUCCUUUGUCCUUUUCAGGUACUUCAGGAUAUUCUUGACCACUGUCCAGUGUUCCUUGCCAGGAUUACUUUGGUAUCUUCCUACCAAACUUACGGCAAGGUUUACAUCAGGUCUGGUACACAGCAUGGCAUACAUAAUAGAUCCUAUGGCUGAGGCAUAGGGGAUGACACUCAUCUCUUCUUUAUCUUUUGCCGUGGUCGGGCAUUGAGCUGAGCUCAAUCUCACACCUUGCAGUACAGGCAAGAACCCUUUCUUGGACUGAUCCAUUUUGAACUUCUUCAAAAUCUUAUCAAGGUAUGUGCUUUGUGAAAGACCUAUGAGGCGUCUCGAUCUAUCUCUAUAGAUCUUGAUGCCUAAUAUAUAAGCAGCUUCUCCAAGGUCCUUCAUUGAAAAACUUUUAUUCAAGUAGGCCUUAAUGCUGUCCAACAGUUCUAUAUCAUUUACCAUCAAAAGUAUGUCAUCUACAUAUAAUAUGAGAAAUUCUACGGAGCUCCCACUCACUUUCUUGUAAACGCAGGCUUCUCCAUAAGUCUGCAUAAACCCAAACGCUUUGAUCAUCUCAUCAAAGCGAAUGUUCCAACUCCGAGAUGCUUGCACCAGCCCAUAAAUGGAUCGCUGGAGCUUGCAUACUUUGUUAGCAUUCUUAGGAUCGACAAAACCUUCCGGCUGCAUCAUAUAUAGCUCUUCCUUAAGAUAACCGUUAAGGAACGCUGUUUUGACGUCCAUCUGCCAUAUCUCAUAAUCAUAGUAUGCGGCAAUUGCUAACAUGAUUCGGACGGACUUAAGCUUCGCUACGGGAGAGAAAGUCUCAUCGUAGUCAAUCCCUUGAACUUGUCGAUAACCCUUAGCGACAAGAUGAGCUUUAUAGAUGGUAACAUUACCAUCCGCGUCCGUCUUCUUCUUAAAGAUCCAUUUGUUUUCUAUCGCUCGCCGAUCAUCGGGCAAGUCUGUCAAAGUCCAUACUUUGUUUUCAUACAUGGAUCCUAUCUCGGAUUUCAUGGCUUCGAGCCAUUUGUUGGAAUCCGGGCCCGCCAUCGCUUCUUCAUAGUUCGAAGGUUCACCGUUGUCUAACAACAUGAUUUCCAGGACAAGGUUGCCGUACCACUCUGGUGCGGAACGUGUCCUAGUAGACCUACGAAGUUCAGUAGCAACUUGAUCCGAAGUACCUAGAUCAUCAUCAUUAAUUUCCUCUCCAGUCGGUGUAGGCACCACAGGAACAUUUUCCUGAGCUGCACUACUUUCCGGUUCAAGAGGUAGUACUUCAUCGAGUUCUACUUUCCUCCCACUUACUCCUUUCGAGAGAAACUCUUUUUCCAGAAAGGAUCCGUUCUUGGCAACAAAGAUCUUGCCUUCGGAUCUAAGGUAGAAGGUAUACCCAAUGGUUUCCUUAGGGUAUCCUAUGAAGAUGCAUUUUUCCGACUUGGGUUCGAGCUUUUCAGGUUGAAGUUUCUUGACAUAAGCAUCGCAUCCCCAAACUUUUAGAAACGACAGCUUAGGUUUCUUCCCAAACCAUAAUUCAUACGGUGUCGUCUCAACGGAUUUAGAUGGUGCCCUAUUUAAAGUGAAUGUAGCUGUCUCUAGAGCGUAUCCCCAAAAUGAUAGCGGUAAAUCGGUAAGAGACAUCAUAGAUCGCACCAUAUCCAAUAUAGUGCGAUUACGACGUUCGGACACACCGUUACACUGAGGUGUUCCAGGCGGCGUGAGUUGUGAAACGAUUCCACAUUUUCUUAAGUGUGUACCAAAUUCGUGACUUAGAUAUUCUCCUCCACGAUCUGAUCGUAAGAAUUUUAUCUUUCGGUCACGUUGAUUCUCUACCUCAUUCUAAAAUUCCUUGAACUUUUCAAAGGUCUCAGACUUGUGUUUCAUCAAGUAGACAUACCCAUAUCUACUCAAGUCAUCAGUGAGAGUGAGAACAUAACGAUAUCCUCCGCGAGCCUCAACACUCAUUGGACCGCACACAUCGGUAUGUAUGAUUUCCAAUAAGUUGGUUGCUCGCUCCAUUGUUCCGGAGAACGGAGUCUUAGUCAUCUUGCCCAUGAGGCAUGGUUCGCAUGUGGCAAAUGAUUCAUAAUCCAGAGACUCCAAAAGUCCAUCAGCAUGGAGCUUCUUCAUGCGCUUGACACCAAUGUGACCAAGGCGGCAGUGCCACAAGUAUGUGGGACUAUCGUUAUCAACUUUACAUCUUUUGGUAUUCACGCUAUGAAUAUGUGUAACAUUACGCUCGAGAUUCAUUAAGAAUAAACCAUUGACUAUCGGAGCAUGACCAUAAAACAUGUCUCUCAUAUAAAUAGAACAACCAUUAUUCUCGGAUUUAAAUGAGUAGCCAUCUCGUAUUAAACGAGAUCCAGAUACAAUGUUCAUGCUCAAACUUGGCACCAAAUAGCAAUUAUUAAGGUUUAUAACUAAUCCCGUAGGUAAAUGUAGAGGUAGCGUGCCGACGGCGAUCACAUCGACCUUGGAACCAUUCCCGACACGCAUCGUCACCUCGUCCUUCGCCAGUCUCCGUUUAUUCCGCAGCUCCUGCUGUGANNNNNNNNNNNNNNNNNNNNNNNNNNNNNNNNNNNNNNNNNNNNNNNNNNNNNNNNNNNNNNNNNNNNNNNNNNNNNNNNNNNNNNNNNNNNNNNNNNNNUACCCGAAGGUAAUCCACCAAGAAAAUGCAAAAUAGCAAAGGGAGGUUAAGAUAUUACUCACUAUCUUUUUGGUAUUUUGUUUUAUUUGAGGAAUUAAAAUACUAACACAAACAGGAGUCAAUAUCAAGUAAAGCUACAAGACAAGGACACAUUAGUAUCAAACAUAUAACAAUAGGAAGAAGCGACAAUAUAUGACAGAAUAUAAUUGUUUCAAAUCAAACACACACACACACAUUCAUAUAUCACAGGUACAUAACUGAUAUGGGGACUACAGAACACACAAAACCACACAUAUGCGAACAGGAUACUACACCACGGUUCAGGUUACACAAGUGACAACAGAAACGAAAUCUUACAAGCCACAAGAUUAGUACCCAUAGAUCAACACAACAGUAUUUAACAACUAAAAAUUACUGAUAGAAUUUAACUAGUACCAAUGUUUUCGAGUCGAUGAGUCGACGAGUCGCUCAGGGGGGGCGACUCUAGACUAGUCUAGACUAGUCUAGACUCAUGGUCGAUGAGUCGACAUGGCGACGAGUCGACGUGAGUUAAGCAGCAGCCAGGGGAGGAGCACAAGUGCUCAACAGCAGCAGCAGCAACAAGGGGAGGAGCACACCAGCAACCACAUUAACCAGGGGAGGAGCACAACAGCAGGAGCAGCAACCAGGGGAGGGGAGGAGAACAACAGUAGCAGGGGAGGAGGGGACGAGCACACCAUAGGAGGAUAGGAGCAGAACAGCAGCAGGGGCAACCAGGGGUGGCGGCUGGAGAGGGUUGGAUCGGGGGGAGGUGGGGGAUGAUCGAUCUAGGUUUCCAGGGGAGAUGGGCCGGCCCAUACUGAAAACAAAACAUAUAACAGUUGGGCUCAAUUUAAGUGAGUCGCUCGACCCAGAAAGAGCGACUAGUCGAGACUAGUCGCUUGAGUCGCUCGACUCAUGCCAGGAGUCGAGUCGAGAGUCUGAGUCGAACCUGGAGAAGCGACUCAUCGACUAGUCGUCGACUAGUCGCGACUAGUCGAACGACUCGAAAACAGAGACUAGUACAGCGAGAAGAAAUACACAGGGUGAACACACAUAUAUGCUGACAGAACACUAAUUACCAAAGUAACAAAAUAUUACAUAUUAGAUAGUUCCCAAAGCAACAAGAAAUCCACUAUUCAGAACAUAGAAUUUAUGACAUGAUAUUUAACAAGUACGAACUGAACAAACUAGUUGGUUGCAAACACUUAGCAAAAUCUGAACCUUACAAGUGCUACACAUCUCAAUUCUGAACAUUUCAAAGUACUGAACAUUACACUACUCAAGAUUACAGAAAAUUAGAGAAUAGAGAGAGGGAGAAGAAGCAGCAGUUUUGAGGUUUCAGAGAAGAGCAGCAGCAAGACGUUGAGAGGAGAGCAGCAGCAGUUUUCUGGUUCAGAGAAGAUUAGGAGGAGCAGCGGAGCAAGAGAAGGAGGCAGCAGCAGGAGGUUGGAGAAGGGAGAAGC
Molecule: long non-coding RNA, 12052 nt
Filed under: Triticum aestivum (bread wheat)
Lineage: Eukaryota; Viridiplantae; Streptophyta; Magnoliopsida; Poales; Poaceae
Description: long non-coding RNA (TAES_LNC019005)
Source: RNAcentral